GAUGAACGCUGGCGGCGUGCCUAAUGCAUGCAAGUCGAGCGAACAGACGAGGAGCUUGCUCCUCUGACGUUAGCGGCGGACGGGUGAGUAACACGUGGAUAACCUACCUAUAAGACUGGGAUAACUUCGGGAAACCGGAGCUAAUACCGGAUAAUAUAUUGAACCGCAUGGUUCAAUAGUGAAAGACGGUUUUGCUGUCACUUAUAGAUGGAUCCGCGCCGCAUUAGCUAGUUGGUAAGGUAACGGCUUACCAAGGCAACGAUGCGUAGCCGACCUGAGAGAGUGAUCGGCCACACUGGAACUGAGACACGGUCCAGACUCCUACGGGAGGCAGCAGUAGGGAAUCUUCCGCAAUGGGCGAAAGCUUGACGGAGCAACGCCGCGUGAGUGAUGAAGGUCUUCGGAUCGUAAAACUCUGUUAUUAGGGAAGAACAAAUGUGUAAGUAACUAUGCACGUCUUGACGGUACCUAAUCAGAAAGCCACGGCUAACUACGUG
This 497-nucleotide ribosomal RNA is filed under the name uncultured bacterium. RNAcentral's name for it is "partial 16S ribosomal RNA". It matches the Rfam family "Bacterial small subunit ribosomal RNA", at positions 28 to 507 of the family's 1533-position model. The record is from RNAcentral.